UUUUGUAUUUUCAGGCUAUCCUUUGUCUCUUCAUUAGACUGUUUCACUCAUUGCAUUCUUGAGAUUGUCAGACAUCGUCGUCUAGUCAUCUAGUCUCCUAGCUCCUGCUUAAUUGUUAAGUUUGCUGUUCUGCUUACUGGUGCAUAAGCACUCCGUUUGAAAUUCAUAAACUUUUGACAUACAAAUUUUCUGUUGUAUCUUUCUAAUUCUAAUUAAUAUCAUAAUUGCUACACUAGCAUUUGUGCCGUAAGACCACAUUUUAAGUAUAAAAAUUGAUGUUUGUUAUUUCCUUGUGCAGCGCAUGCCGGACACAUUUGUCCAGAAACAUGGAGACUGAACUCCUUGCUUAGGUGUUCAGCUUCCUUCUCUCCCACCUUUUUAGCCUUCUGGACAAUUGAUCGAUAUUGUCAAUCUUAUUGUUCUCACUGAUACUUUCUGGUGCGUGGAUGUUUAGAAGGCUGGUAAAAUGAUUUGGUUUCACUAUGGUUAGCUAGAAUUUAUGGAACAUCAUUCUGUCAGCUGUUGGUACUUUUUACUUUUCAAAUAUGGACUGAACUAAUGUUUCAAUGUUCACGUAUUGACCUCACUGCUACCGAGAUUGAUUUAUCAAUUUAGGAGUCAUGUCAAUGCUAAACUACAUGAUGUUUGUCAUGAUCUUUCUCGCGGAAAGGAAAAAAUUGUUAGCGAUAAGGAUGGCUAGAGCUGUGUUAAAAUUAUGAAUCCCUUGGAAGCUGAGCAAGGACCAUAGAGUCUGCCUAAGUCAUCUGAAUUUCCUCAUGGAGCCAAAAGACGUAAAAUUGCACCUGGAAGGAUGAAGCUUUUGCAUUGCUAUGAAACAAGAUGCAUAACAAACAAUUACAUGACGACAGACGGCUAUUAAAUGUGAAGAAUUUGAAUAUAUGGGGCAAUAGCAGUUUAACUAAGCCACUCAGCGGCAAAUUAAUUCGUCAAAGUAUGAAAGUUCCUAUACAUUCUGCAGCGGCAACUGGAGCAAUGGGAGAAAUCUGUAGGGCGUGGAAGGUAUGAUCGCCGCAAAAGAGGGCAACCAAGAGCUUCAGAAGCGAGCAGGGUCAUUAAAGCUGCCAAAACUUUCAUGCCAGAAAAUCCUUACUUCUUGCGGAUUCUUGAAAAAUCUGGAAAAGAGUUAUUGGGACAUAUAGAUGGAAGUGAUCCUUUUCCUACAGAUCCUACAAAGCUUGGGGAAUGGAAGAUUAAAGAUGCUCAGGUGAUGACAUGGAUUUUAGGGUCAAUUGACCCUCUUAUUGUUCUUAAUCUCAGGUCAUACAAGACAACAAAGGCCAUGUGGGAUUACUUACAAAAGGCUUACAUCCAAGACCAUAACACAAGUAGCUUUCAACUAGAGCAUGAAAUUGCUAAUUACUCUCAAGGAGGUCUCUCCAUUCAAGAUUAUUUUUCAGGAUUUUAGAACUCAUGGGCUGAAUUUAUUGAUAUUAUUUAUGCUAAACUAU
Molecule: long non-coding RNA, 1469 nt
Organism: Capsicum annuum
Lineage: Eukaryota; Viridiplantae; Streptophyta; Magnoliopsida; Solanales; Solanaceae
Exons: 3
Source: RefSeq, a predicted model, not a curated record